GCCAGCAGCCAUAUCAUCCUGCAACUCACAACUGGCAACCCACUGAAGCUCAGCAGGUGUGAGCCUGGUCAGUACCUGGAUGGGAGACCUCCAGAGAAAAUCUAAGGUUGCUGUUGGAA
Lepisosteus oculatus (spotted gar) is the source of this 119-nucleotide ribosomal RNA. Lineage: Eukaryota; Metazoa; Chordata; Actinopteri; Semionotiformes; Lepisosteidae. The record is from Ensembl.